GGAAGAGUGGCCGAGUGGUUUAAGGCAACGGUCUUGAAAACCGUCGAAGGUGCAAGCCUUCCGUGGGUUCGAAUCCCACCUCUUCCGCCA
Molecule: transfer RNA, 90 nt
Filed under: Azospirillaceae bacterium
Lineage: Bacteria; Pseudomonadati; Pseudomonadota; Alphaproteobacteria; Rhodospirillales; Azospirillaceae
Description: tRNA-Ser
Rfam family: tRNA
About the family: Transfer RNA (tRNA) molecules are approximately 80 nucleotides in length.
Source: RNAcentral